GAAAAGUUAGUUUAUUAAAACAUUAAUUUGUCAAAUUAAAAAUAUUAUUAUUAAUACUUUUCU
RNAcentral lists this transfer RNA (63 nucleotides) under Himacerus nodipes. RNAcentral describes it as "tRNA-Asp". The record is from RNAcentral. Lineage: Eukaryota; Metazoa; Arthropoda; Insecta; Hemiptera; Nabidae.